RNAcentral lists this ribosomal RNA (400 nucleotides) under uncultured bacterium. Its description in RNAcentral is "bacterial SSU rRNA". It matches the Rfam family "Bacterial small subunit ribosomal RNA", at positions 355 to 772 of the family's 1533-position model. The record is from RNAcentral.
UCGGGAAUAUUGGACAAUGGGGGCAACCCUGAUCCAGCAAUACCGCGUGUGUGAAGAAGGCCUGCGGGUUGUAAAGCACUUUCGCUAGGGACGAUAAUGACGGUACCUAGAUAAGAAGCACCGGCUAACUCCGUGCCAGCAGCCGCGGUAAUACGGAGGGUGCAAGCGUUAAUCGGAAUUACUGGGCGUAAAGCGCACGUAGGCGGUUAUUUAAGUCAGAUGUGAAAGCCCCGGGCUCAACCUGGGAACUGCAUCUGAUACUGGGUAACUAGAAUGUGGGAGAGGGAAGUGGAAUUUCCGGUGUAGCGGUGAAAUGCAUAGAGAUCGGAAGGAACAUCAGUGGCGAAGGCGACUUCCUGGACCAACAUUGACGCUGAGGUGCGAAAGCGUGGGUAGCAAA